AGCAGCCGCAGUAAUUCCAGCUCCAAUAGCGUAUAUUAAAGUUGUUGCAGUUAAAAAGCUUGUAGUUGAAUUUCGGGAUCAAUAUGUCGGUCGUACCUCGGUACGUACUGGCGUAAUUGGUUUCUCCCUUCUGAAGAGCCACGAUGUCAUUAAUUUGGUGUCGUGGGGAAUCAGGACUGUUACUUUGAAAAAAUUAGAGUGUUUAAAGCAGGCUCGCGCUUGAAUACAUUAGCAUGGAAUAAUGAAAUAGGACGUUUGAUUCUAUUUUGUUGGUUUCUAGGAUCGAUGUAAUGAUUAAUAGGGAUAGUUGGGGGCAUUAGUAUUCAAUUGUCAGAGGUGAAAUUCUUGGAUUUAUUGAAGACUAACUACUGCGAAAGCAUUUGCCAAGGAUGUUUUCAUUAAUCAAGAACGAAAGUUAGGGGAUCGAAGACGAUCAGAUACCGUCGUAGUCUUAACCAUAAACUAUGCCGACUAGGGAUCGGAUGAUGUUGAUUUUUAAUGACUUAUUCGGUCG
RNAcentral lists this ribosomal RNA (514 nucleotides) under uncultured Glomus. RNAcentral's name for it is "SSU rRNA". It matches the Rfam family "Eukaryotic small subunit ribosomal RNA", at positions 569 to 1086 of the family's 1831-position model. Lineage: Eukaryota; Fungi; Glomeromycota; Glomeromycetes; Glomerales; Glomeraceae. The record is from RNAcentral.